RNAcentral lists this unclassified non-coding RNA (660 nucleotides) under Hevea brasiliensis (rubber tree). The record is from RNAcentral. Lineage: Eukaryota; Viridiplantae; Streptophyta; Magnoliopsida; Malpighiales; Euphorbiaceae.
GCAGUUGGUGCUCUAGUUGCAGGUGUGUCCUUUACCAGAUGUGAAGUUAAUGUCUUUCAUACUGUACAUGAAAUUGUUAGGACUACCACAGCAUUUGACCAGUGGUCCAGUGACACAAAUGAAAGCCAUUCUUUGGGUUAUUGUACUUCAUAACACGCUAGUGUUGAAUUGUCUACCAUCAGAGGCUUCUUGAUUGGGAAGUGAGAACUACUUGCUAGCCUAAGCAGCAUAGUGAACUCAUGAGUCAUGAAAUGCAUAUAUCAAAUUUCUGGUCAGCAUCAUUAUUUAAUUCUAGCAGCUACUGAAUUCUGAAAUGAUCAUACUGCUGUUGAAGGGAGUCUUAUAAAUAAGUGGAUCAGAGAAGAAAUUAAGUUUGGACAUUGGUCAUUGUGUUCUAUGGUACUUCGAAAUAUAAAAAUUUCAAAAAUUGGGUGUGUUGUUAAUGUAUCAUUUGAGUAAAAACAUUUGGUAAUACUGACAGAAAUUUCAUAUUUCUUAGAUGUUGCUCACAUUUCAGGUUCAACAUUAAUUAAAGUCCAAACAGAGUGAUAUAUUCUAUGGCUUGCAAUGAUCUGCAAAAUUGUUGUGUGAAGAAUCUAUUCAUGCCACAUGCUCAUGUGAGCAAUUGUUUCAUGAUUGCAGGUAUAUUUGGCAUGAACU